Molecule: non-coding RNA, 219 nt
Organism: Vicia faba (fava bean)
Lineage: Eukaryota; Viridiplantae; Streptophyta; Magnoliopsida; Fabales; Fabaceae
Source: the annotation of a GenBank genome assembly
AUGUUUUAUCACCACUGUAGAAGAUCUUCAGAGCCCAUUAAAGAUAAAGAGUCACAAUAUCAUCUCAUAUAUUAUUCAACCUCUAUUUAUUCCAAGAUAACAAAGCCAAAGUUGCUGUCGUUUCUAUUCCUCACGGCCUUUCUCUCUUGUUGCUAUUCUUUUUCACCUUUUUUCCUUGGACCAUCUUUCUCUUUAUCUCUUUUAUGUAAGCAAGUCUAA